This 491-nucleotide ribosomal RNA is filed under the name uncultured bacterium. Its description in RNAcentral is "partial 16S ribosomal RNA". It matches the Rfam family "Bacterial small subunit ribosomal RNA", at positions 29 to 507 of the family's 1533-position model. The record is from RNAcentral.
AGUGAACGCUGGCGGUAGGCCUAACACAUGCGAGUCGAACGGCAGCACAGUAAGAGCUUGCUCUUACGGGUGGCGAGUGGCGGACGGGUGAGGAAUACAUCGGAAUCUACUUUUUCGUGGGGGAUAACGUAGGGAAACUUACGCUAAUACCGCAUACGACCUACGGGUGAAAGCAGGGGAUCUUCGGACCUUGCGCGAUUGAAUGAGCCGAUGUCGGAUUAGCUAGUUGGCGGGGUAAAGGCCCACCAAGGCGACGAUCCGUAGCUGGUCUGAGAGGAUGAUCAGCCACACUGGAACUGAGACACGGUCCAGACUCCUACGGGAGGCAGCAGUGGGGAAUAUUGGACAAUGGGCGCAGCCUGAUCCAGCCAUACCGCGUGGGUGAAGAAGGCCUUCGGGUUGUAAAGCCCUUUUGUUGGGAAAGAAAAGCAGCAGGUUAAUACCCCGCUGUUCUGACGGUACCCAAAGAAUAAGCACCGGCUAACUUCGUG